Molecule: ribosomal RNA, 460 nt
Filed under: uncultured archaeon
Lineage: Archaea
Description: bacterial SSU rRNA
Rfam family: Archaeal small subunit ribosomal RNA
Source: RNAcentral
UUGAUCCCGCCGGAGGUUACUGCUAUUGGAAUCCGAUUAAGCCAUGCGAGUCGAUCGGGUCAGACCCGAGGCACACUGCUCAGUAACACGUGGAGAAUCUGCCCUUAGGUGAGGAAUAACCUCGGGAAACUGAGAAUAAUACCUCAUAGGUUAUGGAUGCUGGAAUGCUUCAUAGCCCAAAGCCCCGGCGCCUAAGGAUGACUCUGCGGACUAUCAGGUAGUAGUCAGGGUAACGACCUGACUAGCCUACGACGGAUACGGGGUGUGAGAGCACUAGCCCGGAGAUGGAUUCUGAGACACGAAUCCAGGCCCUACGGGGUGCAGCAGGCGCGAAACUUCCGCAAUGCUCGCCAGAGUGACGGAGGGAUUCCAAGUGCCUAUGCUAUGCGUAGGCUGUUUUCAUGUCCAAAUAACAUGGAGAGUAAGAGCUGGGUAAGACGGGUGCCAGCCGCCGCGGUAA